This 71-nucleotide transfer RNA is filed under the name Oncorhynchus kisutch (coho salmon). It matches the Rfam family "tRNA". Rfam says of the family: Transfer RNA (tRNA) molecules are approximately 80 nucleotides in length. Their secondary structure includes four short double-helical elements and three loops (D, anti-codon, and T loops). Lineage: Eukaryota; Metazoa; Chordata; Actinopteri; Salmoniformes; Salmonidae. RNAcentral also lists the same sequence under 4 other names. The record is from Rfam by way of RNAcentral.
GGUUUGGCUCAGUUGGUAAAAGCAUGGUGCUAGCAACACCAAGGUCCUGGGUUAAAUUCCCACAGGGAUCA